UUAUUUGUAGUAUAAACAAUACGUUAGCCUUUCACGCUAUUAAUGUGCCUGUGCACCAAAUACC
This 64-nucleotide transfer RNA is filed under the name Siphonosoma cumanense. RNAcentral describes it as "tRNA-Glu". The record is from RNAcentral. Lineage: Eukaryota; Metazoa; Annelida; Sipuncula; Golfingiida; Sipunculidae.